This 253-nucleotide ribosomal RNA is filed under the name uncultured bacterium. RNAcentral describes it as "partial 16S ribosomal RNA". It matches the Rfam family "Bacterial small subunit ribosomal RNA", at positions 524 to 776 of the family's 1533-position model. The record is from RNAcentral.
UACGUAGGGGGCAAGCGUUGUCCGGAUUUAUUGGGCGUAAAGAGCGUGUAGGCGGCCAGACAGGUCCGUUGUGAAAACUCGAGGCUCAACCUCGAGACGCCGAUGGAAACCGUCUGGCUAGAGUCCGGAAGAGGAGAGUGGAAUUCCCGGUGUAGCGGUGAAAUGCGCAGAUAUCAGGAAGAACACCCGUGGCUAAGGCGGCUCUCUAGUACGGUACUGACGCUGAGACGCGAAAGCGUGGGGAGCGAACAGG